GUAGAAUGUAGCUGUUAGCUUCUACGGCAGCGCUAAGACCAUUUGACGGGUUUUCCCGAGGAUGUUAAUGCAUAUUGAGGACUGGUGAGGUAUGUCUGUUGCAUAACCAGUGUGUGCAGCACAGAGGAUAGGAUGGUCAGAGUGAAGUGACCCAUGCCUGGCGAUGUUCAGGCCGGAUCCUUUCAGCUCUAGGUUCCAUCCUUCCUCCACAAACCCACCUCACAGCUGCUCCUGUUCCCCAAGUAAACGAACCAGUGAGGCCUGAAUGAUGGAGCCAAGUUUUUCUUCAAGAUGGAUACAGUUGUGAAUUGUUCAAAACCCUUGUGGUUCCAGAAAACUGGAUAUGAAGAGGAAAUUUACAUUUUUGGCAUCACAAUGUGCACUGGAAAAUAAAGUUGCAUCACUCCUUCCCCCAACAUCUUCCUCCUUCAUGGAUCAGCGGAGCCUAAAUCUGGAACAAAGACGGGGGAAAAAAAUACGAGACACAUGGCAGCAAGAUGCUGUGUGCAAUUACUGCUAAUGAUAUGCCUCCAUGCAAGCUGCGGCCUUAAUUAACUUUGCAGGAAGCCAGGCCUGUGCGAGCUCAGCGUGAGGGGAUGCAGACCCAGAACUUGAAGCCAAAGCUAAGAAAGCACACCUGUCCUUGACGUUGCUCAGACAAACACGCCUGUUAUCCCAGAUUAGACCUGUUGGGUGGUCCUGAGUGAAGAGUAACAUGAUACGGAUGUUGGAGGUUUUAUCCUGCAGAACGGAGCUAAAGCUGAAGCUCACACAAGAAGUUCUGGUCGGGAGGAGGCUAACCGGCAGUGGCAGGAGUGGAUCUUAAAAUGGAACCCAAGGAACAAGGACAAUUACAAACUGCGUUUCCGUUACAAGUGCGCAAAACUUUGUCUGUAUUCCACUAAUGUCGGCAUUUAAACACAAUUUUGCAAUAUGGUGUUUCUACUAAAUAAGGCAAAUAAUUAAAAUCACACAUGAAUAAGUUUG
Non-coding RNA from Poecilia reticulata (guppy), 987 nucleotides. The record is from RefSeq and is a predicted model, not a curated record. Lineage: Eukaryota; Metazoa; Chordata; Actinopteri; Cyprinodontiformes; Poeciliidae.